GCCAGGCGUGGUGGUGCAUGCCUGUAAUCCUAGUGGCUUGGGAGACUGAGGCAGGAAUAUUGUGAGUUCUAAGCCAGCUUCAGCAAAAGCAAGGUGCAAAUCAGCUCAGUGAGACCCUGUCUCUA
Molecule: small RNA, 125 nt
Filed under: Marmota monax (woodchuck)
Lineage: Eukaryota; Metazoa; Chordata; Mammalia; Rodentia; Sciuridae
Source: RNAcentral